ACAGAUCAAAAGCAUGAACAUGGAGAGACAUCUACUACUGAUUGUCAUAACAGUAUCAGGUGUAUUACCUGACAGCAUUGGACCGAAAGACAAGGAAGCAAUAAUCAGUAAAGAAGGAGAGUCUGUGACACUGAACUGCACAUACAGUACAACCAGCAAUGAGAUCUUGCUUUACUGGUUCAGACAGAAUCGAAACACAGAACCGCAGUAUUUAUUGUAUAAAGGUGCUCGAUCAUGGAGCCGUGAGGAGAACAUACCAGACCGUCAACGGUUUCAGUCGACUACAUCCCAAACAUCCACUGAACUCACUAUUAGAAGUGUAACUCUGUCAGAUUCAGCUCUCUAUUACUGUGCUCUAAGAGUAGCAGCCCAGUGA
Molecule: non-coding RNA, 376 nt
Organism: Pimephales promelas (fathead minnow)
Lineage: Eukaryota; Metazoa; Chordata; Actinopteri; Cypriniformes; Leuciscidae
Source: the annotation of a RefSeq genome assembly